GGCUGGACGGAGGAAUGGGGCUCCACUGGCCAUGGUGGCGGCGAUCGCGACGACUGGGCGGGAGAGUGCGACGGACUGCACCCAGACAGCA
Molecule: non-coding RNA, 91 nt
Filed under: Attheya septentrionalis
Lineage: Eukaryota; Bacillariophyta; Biddulphiophyceae; Attheyales; Attheyaceae
Source: RNAcentral